RNAcentral lists this ribosomal RNA (460 nucleotides) under uncultured bacterium. RNAcentral's name for it is "bacterial SSU rRNA". It matches the Rfam family "Bacterial small subunit ribosomal RNA", at positions 338 to 795 of the family's 1533-position model. The record is from RNAcentral.
CCUANGGGCGGCUGCAGUAAGGAAUAUUGAUCAAUGGACGCAAGUCUGAACCAGCCAUGCCGCGUGGAGGAUGAAGGUCCUCUGGAUUGUAAACUUCUUUUAUCUGGGAAGAAACCCAUUUUUUCUAAAGUGGUUGACGGUACCAGAUGAAUAAGCACCGGCUAACUCCGUGCCAGCAGCCGCGGUAAUACGGAGGGUGCAAGCGUUAUCCGGAUUCACUGGGUUUAAAGGGUGCGUAGGUGGGCAGGUAAGUCAGUGGUGAAAUCUCCGGGCUUAACCCGGAAACUGCCAUUGAUACUAUUUGUCUUGAAUACCGUGGAGGUUAGCGGAAUAUGUCAUGUAGCGGUGAAAUGCUUAGAUAUGACAUAGAACACCAAUUGCGAAGGCAGCUGGCUACACGAAUAUUGACACUGAUGCACGAAAGCGUGGGGAUCAAACAGGAUUAGAUACCCCUNUANUC